GCGGCGAGGGGGCAGUGAACAGACAGGCCUCGUCCCGGCACAGGCAGAGAAACUGAGGCAUGUCACUCUGAUACUACAUAGGGGCAACCGAGGUGAGGCAAUCCAGGGACUGCCCAGAAGAAACUGAGGCCCAGCCACUCUUAUCAUGACACAGGGAAACUGAGGCACCACCACCCAGGCAUUCUGCCAGGGAAACCACAUGCUGCCAGGGGAAACUGAGAUCUAUCCACUCUAAUUAUGGCACAGGAUAAACCUAAACCCAUUGCUCUUUAGGAAAAGAGUCCUGGCCACCGGGAUGUCAGACUCCGUAAGACACUGGCAGCAAACCUAGGCCUGACCCACUCAGGAACCCAAGCUGGGGGACCCAGCCAUUGCCUGAGUGCACGUGGAACAGUCUCUACCUAUUCCAGCUUUGCUGAGAAUCUCCCUCAACUCACUGCAUGGGUGAGAAAACUGAGGCCGAGGCCAGAACCAUGUCUUAAGGAGGCCACAGGGCUGGGGACACAGAAUUAGGUCACUAGGACGUGGUUACCUCUAUAAUCUUACAGGGAUGGUCUUCACCUACUAUCCAGCCCAACUCCUGCCGCCUUCACUUUCCCAGAUUGCUAGCCCCUGGCUUCAGAAGACCCACUCCAAGUGAAGAAGAAGAAAAAAAAGCACAGCUAUGGACCGUCCUCUCCACGACCCAGGAGUCCAAGAACUAGCUCCCUCUUCCCUCAGAUCACAGAAGUCUAGGCACCCCCCAGUCCCUUUCCUCCCCAAGACCCAGGAAUCUGAGCCUCCAGACCCCUCCUCCCCAGUCCCAGGAAACCACACCCCCAGGAGACAAGAUUCUGGGCUCUCAUCCUACUCCUUAGACCCAGAAAUCCCAGCCCUUAGAUUCCUCCUCCCUCAGGGCCUAAGAGUCCGGGUGCCCAGCUUCUCCAAGAUCUGGGGGUUCUGGACUCUCCCCUCCGCCUGCAGCCCCAGCUCUUGGGGGGCUGUAACCAAGUGUAGGGGAGGAGGUAGGGGCGGGGUUUCUGGGGCAGGAAGGCAGGGCUUUGGACACUGGAGCCAGGGGAGGAGCAGAGAUGAAUGGAGGCCCCUUGAGCCACUCCCUCCCCACACAUCAGGUCCAACGAGUCCAGCUGGCCUGGCCGAAAGCAAGAGGGACUUUCACUCUGUUCCUUCCUUUCCUUCUCCCCCUGCGGGCCUUGGCAUAACCGGUUCUGACAGUGGAUGAUUCCCAGCCCCGCCCAAUUAUGUGGGCUGUGUCCAAAGUCUGGGACUGGGGCCUUGGACUCCUGGAUCAGAGGAGGGGGCUGAGAGCCCUGGGACUGGGAGAAGGGACAGCUGGGUGCCUGUACCCUUGGGUCUCAGAAAUGGUGCAUCUGAGCAUGUAGACAAGUGAAUCUCAGCACUCAGAGUCAAGAUUCCGGAAAAUGUUUAUAAGAGGGCAGGCCAAUCUUAGGCCAAAAACCAACAUGAUAUCUAAAACCCACCACAACACAGGAUGUUUUAGGGAGGCUGCUUUAGAACCUUAAAGUCACUGAGAAGGAAAUAAAAAACAUAGACUAUAGAAAACUACUGGCAUGAAGACACAGUAGAGUGCAGUGGGCUUGGGGUAAGAACUGCACAUAGGGCUACGCAGAGGGACAUUUUCUAGAACUGAGGGCUAGAACCUACAACUCAGAGCCAGCCAAGAGCAACCCAAUAACAUAAAGAGUGUCUGGGUCAACCUAGGAUCCCUAACUCAGAGAAGAGCCUACGAUCAUACCUAAUGCAAUACAAAACAAAUGUAGUCAGGAGUAUAAUCUAGAACUCCACUAGGGAUGAAGGUAUAACACACAAUAUAGCAGGGGUCACAUUCUUGGCUUUAUCACCUGUCUAGAUAAUCCUAGAACUCAGAAAGCAAAAGAUGUGUUCUAGAAUUCAGAACAUGCUCUGGAGGGGAAGAAAAACCUAGGAAGUAGCAAGAAGUUUGCCUAAAACUUAGAAGUGUCUGAAGGAAACUGCAAAAGGAUGUGUGUUGAGAAUUGAGAAUUUUCUGGAAUAAAGAAGGAGCUGUCAAAGGAGGGGGAGUAGGUGUUCUGGAAAUAAGAACAUUUCUAGGCUGAACACUCCAGAAGAAGAGAGAACCUAGAACAUAGUUAGAAUGCCAAGUGGCAGAUGGAGGAGAAAGCCCACAAUCCACCAGGGGAAAAGUUCUAAACUAAGGCUACACUAGGGAAAAGAUGGACAGAGAAGGUGGGAAUGAGUGGGUCUAGAACCUAGAACCUGAGGAAGAAAAAUUUAACAUAGCACACUUCAAUGGGACUCUCCUAGAUUUCAGAAUGUGAAGUUAGAUGGAACCUAAACCAGGGAAGUGCAUUCUAGAAUUAAUAGUACAAAUUGGAAAAAGGCUAGAGCACAUACUUGGAACACAUACAUUUUUAAAGUUAGAAUGACCCUGGGAAGAGAACAACGUGGCUGGAACCAAGAACAUACAUAACAUGACAAUUGAGCAGAAAAGAAUUAAGGACUGGUUGCUAGAAAUUUGGAACAUGACUGAGGAGAGGGUGAGAUGAGAAUUUGGCUUGAGGAUGUUAUCUAGAUAUUUGAAAAGAUAAAUGGGAAAAAACAUGUCUCGAAUUUAGUAUCUUGCCUAGAACUCAGACCAUGCCUUGAAUGAAGACAACACAGAGAAGUCAUCUGGGGAAUGUUCUAGAAUUUAGAAGGAAUCUAGAACAUGGAGCAAUGCAAGGACACAUAUGCAACUAGAAAUGUGGAAGACAGUGGGUAGGUUCUAGACCACCUAAUGAGCCUAGGCCACAGAACACAUCUAGAGGAAGUGUUGUGAGUUUGGCUCUUCAGCCUGAGAGAGUGUUCUUUGAAAAUGGGACCCAUGAUUGGCCCCAGUGGGGUGCUGGAAACAUCUCAAGAAGCUGGGGUCUUAGGGGAAAGAGUAGAGAAGAGAAUCCUGAAGCCCAGCACCUGAGAUGAUAAGGGGACAACACAGGGAUUUGCCAAGGCCACAGGAAAUGUGAAGUUGAUGGGGGUGGUCAUAUGGCUGUGAGGACCUGGGUCUCUAAAAGUGACAGCUGAGGAGCUUGAUACCUGGGGGAGGAGCAGGGAUGGGAUCCUAGACCCCUAGAUCCUUGUGUAGGUAAAGGAUGGGGGGUUAGAAGCUUAGAGCCUGAGUCCUUAUUUGGAGGGAGGGCUGGGGCAGGUAGCCUCAGUGGACAGUACAGAACCUGGGUCUGAACUCCUGAGGCCCGGAGGGGAUGCAGGACUGGGGACAAGACAUCUAGGUCUCCAAGGGGGAGGAUGGACAGAAAUCAAAGAAUUGCAUUAAUAAUUGCUUUCUGGGUCCCCUAAAGGGAGAGAGCCCUGGUGCUUGAGUCCCUAAGGGAGCAGAGGUUGGGUGACAAGAAGCUUAAUAUAUUUGUCUGAGGUUGCACAGGGGAUGUUGAACUGGGUUCUGAAGGGGGCAAAAGCUGGGAAACUGGAUUCUUAGGUCCUGACGGGGUGAGGGCUAUCAGCUGGGUCCAGCAGAUGGAGUGAAACACUGACAAGCUUCCAGAACAGGGUAGGAGCUGGAUACCCGGGUGCCAAGGUCCCUAAGGUGGACAGGGAAGCGAAAUUCAGAAGCCCUGGCUUCUCAGGGAGCAGCUGGAGUCCCAAAAACCUGGGGUGCCGAGGACCGGGCCAACAGCCUGGCCAGCAGAACGGUGAGGGCGACCGGGACGCCCGGGUCGGGGAGGGCCCGGGUAUCCCCGGGUCAAAGGCGCGGCGGGGGGGAUCCCCGCGCCGCCUGCGCCCCCUCCCUGGCGGCUGCAGCAUGAGGUGGGGGAGGCGAGCCUGCCGAGUGUGCUGACCAUGGACAGCUCCGGAGCGGGCCUGUGUCCAGGGCGGCCGCCCAGCCGGCCUGGACCGAGGAACGCGACCGGCUGUUGAAGCCGAAGGCUGAAGACCGGCAGACAGGAGCCCAAGGCGACGGACAUGACGCUGAGCAGAGCAGACGAGCCCACCGCCCGAAUGGAGCUGCCAGUCUGGAGUAGACAACCAACUUCUGUGAUAAGAGCUGAGACUGGGAAGGUGAUUAUCGAGAUGAGGAAGUCCUGGAGGAGGGACAUUGCAGAGUCCUGGAAGGUAAGACGUGGGGCGUGGGGCACAGCCACCAGGCAGAAGGAGCCCACGUGUCUGGAGAGCAGAGUUGGGACUGAUUCAUGGCGAAAGUGGAAAGGUUGGCAGGAUGCAGGUUAUGCCUGGCCUUGUGUGUUGGCAUAUGCUUGUUGAGGAUUUUGGACUUCAUGCCAACUCCUAAGAGUAAAAUGUGACAUUCAAAUUUGUAUUUUAAGAUGACUGUUGGCCACUGUGGACUGCAUUGGAUGGGCGCAAGAGGAGAAGCAGCAGGCCCAGUUAUCACAGCAAUCCCCGUGGUGGCCAGCACCAGGGCCAGGCCUGGAGGGUAGGUGGCCAGGUAUGCAAAGCGCCAGGGCGAGUCUUGGUGCUCAGCAGUCUACGGGGAUAGGAGGUGCAGGGGAAGGGAGUAUUAAGGUGCUCUGGUGCCACUUGUUCAGCUGGUCUGUGCUGGUGGAGGGAUAUUGGAUAUUUUGAAUGUGGGAAACCUGUGUAGUGUCCAAGGGAAGAGGACAUCUAAGUCUAGGACUCAGAAGAGCCAUCUGGCCUGCGGGCAGUUUUGAGGAUUUGGGCAUAGGUGGUAGGUAUAACCAUGGGAGUGGACGAGAAUUCUGGGAGCAAGAGAGAAUAGAAUAAAAAGGACCUAGGACCAGUCCCUAAAACAUUUAAAGUCAGGAAGGUGGUAAAGAAUGGACAGAAAGGUAGGUGGGAGGAAACCCAGGCAGAAGAAACCAAGAGAAGAGAAUGGUUUUAACAAGUGGUCAGUGGUGUAAAAUGCUCCAGAGAGGCCACGGACACGCGGGGAAAUGUGGACAAGACUUUUGAGAGGACUGGCUGUCACCCGGCCACCCUCUGGGUCAGCCGGAUGGGGAUCUCAAUCGGGAAAAUAGCUUCCUCAAAGUGGGAGGACUAAAAUCCACUUUGUCUAGUCCUCUCCCCUCUUCUUUAACAAAAAGUAGUGUCUUCACCAGGUUAAACACAAAAUCUAGUCACAUACAAGGGCUAAUGAUGAAAAGCACCAGCCCCUGUACUUCUCCUAACUCUGCUCGCUUCACGAGGUGACAACUUAUAGAUGUUUAGUCUGAGAGCUGCUUCGGUAUCUAAAUAACAUGCUAGUUCUUGAUUUAGAGGCAACAGAUUACACAUUGAUUUUCUGCUUUUCCCACCUUUCCCCUCUGUUCCCAUAGUUUUAUGACAGUAGCUUUUAGUUCAAUCAAUAAAGUGCUCACAUGAUG
Microcebus murinus (gray mouse lemur) is the source of this 5336-nucleotide non-coding RNA. Lineage: Eukaryota; Metazoa; Chordata; Mammalia; Primates; Cheirogaleidae. The record is from RefSeq and is a predicted model, not a curated record.